GUCCACGCCCUAAACGAUGUCAACUGGUUGUUGGGUCUUCACUGACUCAGUAACGAAGCUAACGCGUGAAGUUGACCGCCUGGGGAGUACGGCCGCAAGGUUGAAACUCAAAGGAAUUGACGGGGACCCGGCACAAGCGGUGGAUGAUGUGGUUUAAUUCGAUGCAACGCGAAAACCUUAACCCACCUUUGUACAUGUACGGAAUCCUUUAGAGAUAGAGGAGUGCUCGAAAGAAGAGCCGUAACACAGGUGCUGCAUGGCUGUAGU
RNAcentral lists this ribosomal RNA (267 nucleotides) under uncultured bacterium. RNAcentral's name for it is "partial 16S ribosomal RNA". It matches the Rfam family "Bacterial small subunit ribosomal RNA", at positions 793 to 1055 of the family's 1533-position model. The record is from RNAcentral.